AACGAACGCUGGCGGCAUGCCUAACACAUGCAAGUCGAACGAGACCUUCGGGUCUAGUGGCGCACGGGUGCGUAACGCGUGGGAAUCUGCCCUUGGGUUCGGAAUAACAGUUAGAAAUGACUGCUAAUACCGGAUAAUGUCUUCGGACCAAAGAUUUAUCGCCCAGGGAUGAGCCCGCGUAGGAUUAGCUAGUUGGUGAGGUAAAGGCUCACCAAGGCGACGAUCCUUAGCUGGUCUGAGAGGAUGAUCAGCCACACUGGGACUGAGACACGGCCCAGACUCUACGGGAGGCAGCAGUGGGGAAUAUUGGACAAUGGGCGAAAGCCUGAUCCAGCAAUGCCGCGUGAGUGAUGAAGGCCUUAGGUUGUAAAGCUCUUUUACCC
This 383-nucleotide ribosomal RNA is filed under the name uncultured bacterium. Its description in RNAcentral is "bacterial SSU rRNA". It matches the Rfam family "Bacterial small subunit ribosomal RNA", at positions 29 to 441 of the family's 1533-position model. The record is from RNAcentral.